GCGCUCUUAGUUCAGUUUAGUAGAACAUGGGUCUCCAAAAUUCAAUGUUGUAGGUUUAAAUCCUACAGAGCGUG
This 74-nucleotide transfer RNA is filed under the name Gossypium hirsutum (cotton). It matches the Rfam family "tRNA". From Rfam's summary of the family: Transfer RNA (tRNA) molecules are approximately 80 nucleotides in length. Their secondary structure includes four short double-helical elements and three loops (D, anti-codon, and T loops). The record is from Rfam by way of RNAcentral. Lineage: Eukaryota; Viridiplantae; Streptophyta; Magnoliopsida; Malvales; Malvaceae.